CAAGAAGUGAAGAAAGAAAAGGUAUUUCAUACUUCCACUAUGGCGUCUAUAUGAUGCGAGAAAUAUGGGAAGUUUAGAUAGGCGAGACGGGAUACAUCGGACCUCGGCCAGCCGUAUCACCGUAACUUCAGUGAGUCAGUCAGCAUGACCAGCAAUCGCGGACAGCAGCGGGAGACGAUGACCUCAGCACCAUGGGCUAUAAAAUCUACAGACGACUUCAGACUCCUCAGAGGGCACGCUGGUGAUUGCGCCGGCAAGAUGCUUAAAUUACAAUGGUCUUCACUACAGAUACUGCUGUGGCAGUCUUUCUACACCAGCAAAGUCGACUGCGGGAAUGCAAGACCAGUAGCUGCGGCGUCAUGUGCUGUCAACCUGCAGUACGUCCCUGAUAAUCAAACGCAAUCCUGGCACCUGCAAAGUGGGUUUCCCGUCAUCGACGACAACAGAACAAGAAAGUAUGCGCCGGAAAACCAAGGAUCAGCUACUGCGACAGAGGCGUGGCUGCUCUCCAAACUGCCCCUGGAAACGCUGCGGCUUUAGUAGGCUCGGCGGCACAAUCGAAGCAGGGAUGUCAUAUUGCUUCCUGUUCUACGUACAGGUUAGUAGAAAAUACUUCUACAAGUGUUUUAAACACGAUUG
RNAcentral lists this unclassified non-coding RNA (639 nucleotides) under Ixodes scapularis (black-legged tick). RNAcentral describes it as "uncharacterized LOC120849063, transcript variant X3". The record is from RNAcentral. Lineage: Eukaryota; Metazoa; Arthropoda; Arachnida; Ixodida; Ixodidae.